Molecule: transfer RNA, 74 nt
Filed under: Parabacteroides merdae
Lineage: Bacteria; Pseudomonadati; Bacteroidota; Bacteroidia; Bacteroidales; Tannerellaceae
Description: tRNA-Asp
Rfam family: tRNA
About the family: Transfer RNA (tRNA) molecules are approximately 80 nucleotides in length.
Source: RNAcentral
GGUUCGGUAGUUCAGCUGGUUAGAAUACAUGCCUGUCACGCAUGGGGUCUCGGGUUCGAGUCCCGUACGCACCG